AAAAAAAUAACAUAACAGAUAUAAAAGGUGAUAAGCCAUUACAUUUGACCAUUAGUGAGGAAUUUCGUAAUAUUAAAUUGAUACAAAAUUCCUUUUCUAUAAAUACCAGAGAUGCUCCUGCUUUCUUGUCUCUAUUCACCAUUUUUGGCUUCUUCUUUCUCUCUCUAUCUCUCUGUCUCUCUCUUUCGCACGUAUUUGAACGUAUAUACAUAUAUAUGCUACAACCACCUGCAACCGUGCUAGGAGACAGCGCCAUUCCAAUACCUUCCUUCUGCCAGUGUUGUCAAGAAUCAACCCACCCGUACCAAUUCCCAUAUAUCACCGGAUUCCAUGUCCAUUUUCUAUCCUAUUUCAUAGCACACACACCGACGAACAAGUUUCGUGAGUUUUCAAAACUGAAAACUCUUAAUUUAUAUACAUUUUAAGCACUUUGAACGGAGUUGACACUGUUUUAUGCUCGAUUUGGUACUCAUUUGGAGUUGCUGUUCAUUGAUUUGCAGGAGAAGCGGAAAAGAUUGUGAUGAAUAUUAUAUAGGAGCAAAAGUAAAAGAACAGAUAGUUGUGUGAGGCUUUGAAGAAGAAGAAGAGACAGAAACAGAGUGUGUGGGUCAGCCAAAGGUGAGUCGUUUUCAAUGGUAUAACUUUAUUUGUCUCUUUGUCAAUUCAUCGAACACCUUAUGUGCUCGACAACCUUCCACACUUGUGAAAGCGAUUCAUCAUCAGUAUCAUUCCUUCUUCCAAGAUCGCAUUGUUUCCCCUCUCUGAUUUCUUCUAAGCAAAACCAGAAUCAUAAAUUCCUCAAAAUUCGUCUGAUAAAUUUAACUGGGGUAUUGCGUCCUGUGGUCCUAUUAUCGGGAAAGAUGAUAAUGAUGUUGAUAUUGAUACGAUCAGCAACAGAUGCAGGAGGCAACUUUGCGAUCAAUAAUGAAAGCUUGAAAAGAAGGGUAAAGCAAAGUUGUGUGCAGAAUUUGGGAUCCCGGGGACACUCUACUCUCGUUUUCACUUUUUUCCUUGGUUCCAACAAAAAUCAAAAUCUUCUUUUACUUUUUCCAUGGUUAUUCGAGAAAUCCCUUACACAUACACAUACACAUACUCAAACCUCUUCAUUCCUUUCUUCACCUUCACCUUCACGUUAACCUUAAUUUUUCAUUUUACCUCGUAUACUAUACAAUAGAUUAGAGGGAGGGACCCCAACGAAUGAUGACGUCAUAAAUGGUUCUUAACUUCAUAUUGCCAUUGCAUUUGUUUUGUUGCAGUGUGAGGUGUGAAGAAGAACAAGAGAGAAGAUGCUGACGUGUAUAACGUGCUCAAAGCAGCAGGUAGACGAUGGAGGCGAGGAAGUGGGGGCGCGUGGGGCACCNNNNN
This 1365-nucleotide long non-coding RNA is filed under the name Lactuca sativa (garden lettuce). RNAcentral describes it as "long non-coding RNA (LSAT_LNC006255)". Lineage: Eukaryota; Viridiplantae; Streptophyta; Magnoliopsida; Asterales; Asteraceae. The record is from RNAcentral.